GUUCUUUUGAGACUUUUCCAUAUCAAAUAUCAUGAAUAAUUUUAUUCAUCAGGAUAGUAACAAAUUAGUUCGUUCGGAUCUUUUAACAAUUUUUGUACUACAAGAUCUUUUAUCAUAUCAUUCAUAUGGUAAAUGUCUCCUUCAGGAAGAAACUUAUAUCAUAACAAAUUGUCGUGGUCAAAAUCAUCAAAUCAUUUCUUGCUUUAAUUUUUCCUUUAAUAACUUUUAUAAGGCAUGCCAAAAUAUUUUGGCAUAUCACAUGUACGAGACCAAUGACAUAUUCAUGUAACCACACAAUAAUAUUUAUUCUCUUUAUUUCACUCAAACCUCUUUCAAGGGCGAGUUGUGUGGUAUUCAUCCAAGCAUGCAUUACAUGUCUUUAUUCAUUAAUUUUAUCGCAUAUUACCACAUUCACAUAUAGGAAUGGGUUUGCAUUUUCAAUGCUUAUCACAAGUCACAUUUUCUUUAAGGAAUGGAUCAUAAUCAAUGACGU
This 493-nucleotide long non-coding RNA is filed under the name Nicotiana benthamiana. RNAcentral describes it as "long non-coding RNA (NBEN_LNC014761)". The record is from RNAcentral. Lineage: Eukaryota; Viridiplantae; Streptophyta; Magnoliopsida; Solanales; Solanaceae.